Non-coding RNA from Coffea arabica (coffee), 1621 nucleotides. The record is from RefSeq and is a predicted model, not a curated record. NCBI's taxonomy places the organism in Eukaryota, Viridiplantae, Streptophyta, Magnoliopsida, Gentianales, Rubiaceae.
AAUCCCUCACAGAGGCCUGAGGUCUCAAAUGAUGAUUUUGUACAGCAACAAAAGAAGCCCAUCAGAUACUCAGAGAUGAAAUUUAACCAGUGAAGUUACUAGAUAGGUGGACCUAGUUUAAAUAAGCUAUCAAGUUGUACAUUUUCCCAAGCAAAGUAUUUCAUUUGUGGGUGUAGCAAAAUUUGAGUACUACUUAUGGUGCUGCAGGCCUCCUUCCACGCCCUCUGUUGUCUCCAGUUGUUGAUCUGGUGCACUUUGGGCUGCCAUUGUACUCUGAAGUACUUUAGGUAUUAUGUGACAAACACCCUCCUUAUGCUGCUUUAUUCAAAGAAAAACAACACAGCUUGACGGGUGGUAGUUCAAUAUUCUAAUAGGCGGUUCUUUUGGCUUGGUUUUUAUCAUGAAGCGUGUGAGAAGUGUAUCUGGCUUCUUGAAAAAAAUUUAUGGAAAAGAACAAGAUAUUGUUGUGCAGCAGCUGUUUGCUUCGUGAGACUAAGGUUUUUUGUUCUAUUGGAUGGUUUUGGUUGUCUUUUUUGGUUCAUUUUAUGAUUAGUUGUCGUAAUUUUUGAGAAAUUUACUAAUGGUGCGAGGGUACAUUUGGUGACUGGAUUCUUAUAAAGUGAGAAAAAAAAUUGUAUUUGCUAUAAUGUUUUGUAAUAUUAGUUUUGCUUACAAGGACUUGGUGGCUAUAUUACCUUGUUCAACCACGUCAGCAAAAUUUUCAAUAAUAUCACAUUUUAUAGUUGUUUUUGAAACUGGAUAUAGUUGGGUGUUGACGUUUAAUUCAUGUGUAGGGUGCGUCUGGUUGUUUUGAAUUGUUUUUCUGGAUGAUCUUAUUUAGGAAUAUCCAGCUGCCUCGAGCUAUUGUUGUUGUCAUUGUCAUUGUCAUUGUCAUUGUCAUGCCUUGCAAUCGCAGGCUAUGGAUUUUGAGCCAUUGUUUGAACCAUUUUUCUACUUGAUUGCUUUGGUGGGUACUUCUUUGUUACCUUUGAACAAUGUACAAACUAACCAGUGAAGAAAUUUAAGUUUGGUUGGCAAGGGAUUCCAUGCGAAGCUUAGUGGGUUCUAUCAAAAAUCGAUCCCACAAGGCUGAAGUGGGAAAGAGGAGGAGGAACUUCUCACUUUGAUUAAAAGCAAGUUUUCGCAAACCCUGCAUCAUCCUUCGGAAUUCUCUGAAACGGUGGUUUCAUUUACCGCUAGGGUGAAGUCGUCGUGGACAGCUGAAAAUCCAGGAAAGAGGUUCUAUGGUUGCGCUUACUAUGAACAUAAUGGUGGCGGCGACUGUGGCUAUUUCAAGUAGUAUGAUACAGACAGUUGUGAGAGGUGCAAUAAAUUAGUGAGACACACAAUAAAAUUGACGAAGAGAUUAAGAGAAUUGGAGGCAAAGUUGGAAGAAACAAGACGCAAGGAGAAAAUGAUGAAAUUGUUGCUGUUUGCAGCGUUUGUUUUCGUAGUGCAGAAUUUGUUGAGUAAAGAUUGAGUUGUAACUAGCAUUUGUUGGCGCAGGUGGUGAACUGGGAACUGGGUGGCUUUUAUUUGCUGUAUUUAGGUUGGGUUAUGUUUAGUGGCCCUAUUGAUUGUACAAAUAAGAGUUGGAAUGUAAUAAUGAAGCUUAAGUUCU